CCCCAUGUUCAACUUUGUUCAACUUCCCAUUUCCCCCACAGGCUACGGCCCCCCCAGUGGUCUAGGAGCAGGCCUUGGAGGGAGUGUGAAGCCCCAGAGGCCAGGGUUUAGGCCUGGCAUUGGGCUGGGAGUCAGGGCCUUUCCAGGAGCUGCAGCCCAGCCAGGAUACGGAAAUGGGCUGGGAGCUGCCACCUUCCCGCAGCUGGGAGCCCAGCCGGGAGCCCAGCCAGCCCCACCUGUGUCCCCAGGGUUUGGGAGCAGAAAUGGUUUCGGUGUUGCCUUUCCUGGGGCAGGAGCACUGCCAGGAAUUGCCGGGAGUGUGAAACCUCCAAAGCCGGGAUUCAGCAACAGGAAUGGGAUGGGAGCUGGGGCCCUCCCAGGAGCUGGAGCCCAGCAAGGACCCAGCAUUGGCGAUGGCCUGGGGGCCCAGCCAGGCUUUGGAGCCGGAGGAAGACUCCAGGCGCCAGGGUUCGGGACCGAGAACGGAGCCCAGCCAGGCCUUGGAGGACCCAAAGCUGGGAAGCCAGGUUCUGCAACUGAAAAUGGCUACGGACCAGACUUUGGAGCAGACGUGAAACCCCAGACACCAGGCCCCCCAGCUCAGAACAGCUAUGGAGCAGGUACCCAGGGCUCGGGAGACACUGGAGUCAGGAUGCUGGGGUUCUGGGGAGGCUCCGAGAUGGGGGUUCUGGGUCCCCCACCUGUGGCUCAUUCUGUCCAGGCUCUGGAGGAGGUGUCGAAACCCCGGGUGUGCAUCUCACUCCUGCCCAAGUCUCUGUCCCCCCCAGUCUGCAGUCCCUUCCUCUGUCACCUCCAUCUCCAUCUCUCCCCCAGGAUUUGGGAACGGGCUGGGAGCCCAGUCAGGCUCUGCAGCUGA
RNAcentral lists this long non-coding RNA (877 nucleotides) under Sus scrofa (pig). RNAcentral's name for it is "lncRNA (ENSSSCG00070026620.1)". The record is from RNAcentral. Lineage: Eukaryota; Metazoa; Chordata; Mammalia; Artiodactyla; Suidae.